UACGUAGGGGGCUAGCGUUGUCCGGAAUCAUUGGGCGUAAAGCGCGUGUAGGCGGUCCGGUAAGUCCGCUGUGAAAGUCGAGGGCUCAACCCUCGAAUGCCGGUAGAUACUGUCGGGCUAGAGUGCGGAAGAGGCGAGUGGAAUUCCUGGUGUAGCGGUGAAAUGCGCAGAUAUCAGGAGGAACACCUAUUGCGAAGGCAGCUCGCUGGGACGUUACUGACGCUGAGACGCGAAAGCGUGGGGAGCAAACAGG
This 253-nucleotide ribosomal RNA is filed under the name uncultured bacterium. RNAcentral's name for it is "partial 16S ribosomal RNA". It matches the Rfam family "Bacterial small subunit ribosomal RNA", at positions 524 to 776 of the family's 1533-position model. The record is from RNAcentral.